Molecule: long non-coding RNA, 1487 nt
Filed under: Capra hircus (goat)
Lineage: Eukaryota; Metazoa; Chordata; Mammalia; Artiodactyla; Bovidae
Description: lncRNA (ENSCHIG00010016846.1)
Source: RNAcentral
AUGUGCUAUGAAAGCAGGAAGAGAAUGUUAUCUCUGUCUCCUUCUAACAGGAAGGCAAAGGCUUUAUCAGAACUCCCAGGCAAACAUCUCCUUGUGUUUUAUUGGCUGGAAAAGAGAAUAGUUAACUGGACAAGUGUUAAGUGUGGAAAAAGAGGGAAGUGGAUAUUGGAUAAGCAACUGACCAUAAUGCUUCCCUUGGUUUGGCCUCACACUAUCCUGGUUGCUGAUGGGAGGUAAGAAAAGGUUUUAAUUGGCCUAUGUGAUCUGUCCUUCUCUCUUGGUAGGGAGUGGGUGAAUGAGUGAAGAUUUGACAGGCCAUUUCAGGGAGCUUCCAAAUCUGAGCUUAGCUAGCAAAGGAAAUCACUAAUAAUAUUUUGCUCUUAACUUAGACUUCAAAAAUCAUAAUGUUGUUUAGAUUCAGGUAGAUAGCAAUUCUGAGUUGAACUAGAUGCUUUGCUGUCUGGAAAAGGAGUAAGUAAGUAACUAUUUGCAGUGGUUCCUAGGUGUCGCUAUGGCUGUGUGCCCCUGUACUCUAGAAAUAGCUGGGCCUUCCUGAUGUCCAGACUGGCAUCUCUUGCCAAGUCGGAAAGAGAUCUGAAAACUCCCAUUCCAUUCCCUUUGCGGAAGACACCACAGCAUUUCUUCUUCCGACCCUAAUGGGAAGCACAUGGAGAUCGCUGAACAUUGGGAACACUUCUUUGCUCAAAUUAUGUUUUUUGAGCAAGGGCUAUGAUAAAGUAACCUCUAAACAUGACCCUGGCAGAAGUCAGUAGCCUUGCUUAUUCUGGCCACGUUCCUGGUGCAAUCCAGGGUUCUGGGAAGAUUUACUUUAAUUACAACUUCUUUUGCCCUUUUUCUCUCCCUCUUAUCCUCAUGAUCUCUUACAUAACAUGUGUUAGAGGUACCAAAAUUGAAAAUUUCAUUCUCGAGCUAAAUUAGAUAAACGUAAUUUGCACUUGGCUUCUUUUCUUUCAAGAGAUCUGGCCAAAUUAGCAUGUCAUACUGUUUUUCUAAGACACACAUAACUUAAAUUCUCUUUCUUUCUUUAGUUUUUAUAUCUCAGUAAAAAUUUCAUUUUUUGUUUUCAGUGGCAAGGAUAAUAAAGAGGCAUUGUGUCUUCUAAAUUUUCUUUAGCCAUACAAGGUUUUAUGAAGGGUAAUUUUUAUAGACUUUUUUCUUAGUCUACUAAAAUUCUCAUGAGAAUUAGUUCAUUUCCAAAAAGUUUUGCACAGAGCUUAUAUGUAAAAGUUAAAAUUCAUAUAAAUUAAAACAUAAACACUGCAUUCUUCAUGAAUCAUGAAAAUCACACAUUAAAAGCCCAGAUCAAAAUCUCCUUUCAAUUGUACUGUAUUAUUUAGCACAAAAUGUGUAACCUGUAAUUUUUGCCUUCGGUUCAAUGGGACCUCAAUGUACCAAACAUUAAUUGAGCACCUUAUGUGUGUUCAAAGGCACUUUGUUCUGAUUAGGAGAUGAAUCUUACACCGCAA